Molecule: non-coding RNA, 156 nt
Organism: Triticum aestivum (bread wheat)
Lineage: Eukaryota; Viridiplantae; Streptophyta; Magnoliopsida; Poales; Poaceae
Source: Rfam
UUUAUACUCCCUCCGUCCCAAAAUUCUUGUCUUAGAUUAGUGUAGAUACGGAUGUAUUUAGUGUAGAUACGGAUGUAUCUAAUACCAAAACAUGACUUGAUACAUCCGUACUUAGACAAAUCUAAGACAAGAAUUUUGGGACGGAGGGAGUAUUUC